UAUCUUCGGUAAGCCAACAAUAAAGCAGCAGAGAGAAAGGGGUGGUGCGUGGUGCAUUUGGCGGGUAGUGGUGUUUGAUUCUAGUUCGCUGGCUUGAGCGGCAGGGUCGAAGCCCACCCGUUGGUGGUUAACUCCAGUAUGGCACGAAAAAGAAGAGAGAGAAUGAGUUCCAGCGGUGGCUGCCUGGCUGGAGGCACUGAUUUUUGCCGACGAAGUUUGAGGGGAAAGAGGUCGGCCUUGUUGAGGCUGCCGGUGACUGGUGGAUCUUGAAGCUCACCAAAAUCUGGCCAUGGAAGAGAGAGAAAAGAAAAGCCUGUGAUGUUGUGGUUUUGUGCGUGUGGUGUGUGUAGUGUGUGUUUUUAAAGCAAAGAAAUGUCAGGGUACUUGCGGCUCCCCUUUUUUCAAGCUGAGAGGGUAGAAAAUAAAAACCUACCCUCUCAAAUUUUG
Molecule: long non-coding RNA, 447 nt
Filed under: Capsicum annuum
Lineage: Eukaryota; Viridiplantae; Streptophyta; Magnoliopsida; Solanales; Solanaceae
Description: long non-coding RNA (CANN_LNC002821)
Source: RNAcentral